Long non-coding RNA from Oryzias melastigma (Indian medaka), 2630 nucleotides. RefSeq lists it as uncharacterized. The transcript has 2 exons. The record is from RefSeq and is a predicted model, not a curated record. Lineage: Eukaryota; Metazoa; Chordata; Actinopteri; Beloniformes; Adrianichthyidae.
GGUUGUUUUGUAAUAUGCGAAUCAUAAUUUGAAUCAAAAUAAAACUGUGACCCAACGUGACUGAGUGAAUUAUUACAUUCCAAGUAAGUUCAUCAUCUUAUUUUAUACAGUUCUUCCUGGGAAAUGUUAAUUUUUUAUCCUCCCUUCCCUCUAAUCUUUUUUUUUCUCUUCAAUCAGAGUUCUGCCACAAUGCUCUUCUAUUCGGUCACUUGUGCAUUUAGAUUUUUUAUCGUCUUUUCAUAUCACUGCUGUUAGAAAACUGAUAAUAUUUACUAACACCUGGAAAUGCCUCCACUAACAUUUUCUGCCAGCAGACAUUUCUUCUGCUUUUUUUUCCCAGUUUUGCAAUCUUUGUAUUGAUUUUUCAAGGUAACCGUGGGGCAUCUUGAAAGGAAAAUGGUGAUUUCUGACCAUUUAGCUAACGAAAUUACCUACUGUCAUCCUAUGGAGAUAUUUGGAAGAAAAGCCUAUGGACGAAAGAGCAAGCGGUUGUGGCUUUGCCAUCUAUAGUUCCUUAAACAGCUGUGAGUGGUGACUUCUUGAAUGGGCUAUGUCAUGACCCCUUGAGAUCCAGAUGUCAAUGUUUAAAGAAAAGCUCAAGUCCUAACUCGGACAGUUAGCACUAGAGUGAUAAAUGAAUGGGAUUUUAUUAUUCUGUUAAAACUAAUUCCUUUUUUUGAGGCACGCUCUGUCCCGACACACACAAAUACAUUCAUCUGAUGCCUUUGUAUCUCCUCCUUCCACGCACACACACAUUGUUUGAAGACAAUGAAGCUAAUCGUUGUGGAACCUUCAUCUCCUGAAAUGUGGUCACAUGACUGACACGAUAACAGAAGGAGGAGGCGAUAAGCUUGAGAAGAUUCAGUGGCUGCUGGAAGGAGCACAAAACCAAAGAGGGGAGAGGAAAUGAUGGAGAGUCCACAAGCUGCCACGACUCUUUCCCGACUUGUUCAAAGGGUUGGCAACCCCCAGACCAACACAUCACAGGGUAGUCUGCACAGCGCCCAGCCUUCAAAUAAAUGCUUCUUCAUGAAUUUUUAAUCAUCUACCAUUUAGGGAUUUAAAUAAAGAUCAACUUCUUCCGGCUGCACUGCCUUCAUGUGCAUUUUAUGCACUCAAAGGGAAGUAAGCUUGCAUGAACGUGUUCAUCAGUUUUAUUUGCUGUCAGCCCCCCCACCAACCUUAAAUGUUUCCUCCUCUUUCUCUGCCCAAUCCCACCUGCCAGUGUUGUGAGCAGAAGCCCGGCAGGUUGUCUAACCCCCAGCAGAAAAUUUCCUGACUGACUGGUUGACUGGUUGGCUGGCUGAGUGGCAGCAUGUGAAGAGCAGGAGACAGAUCAGCAGGGAAUCACUGACAGAUGUAAUUAAUGAGGUCAUACUUGAAGCUGGCAGUCCCCUUCAUAUCCAAUUGCUGACGAUCACAACCCAACACACCUGCAGCUCAAACAGCAAAUAAAAAAAGAAAAUGCCCCUUUCUGCUGACAAUGAGAUAAAUGAAAGUAGGACAUUGUGUAUGUUCAAGCUACGAUUUUAUUCCUUCUGAAAUGGGGGAAAAACUUUGUAGUUUUGAGCCUUGCUCUUUUUGUUUUCUUCCUGGGAUUCAGGUGUUCCCUGUGGUGCUGAGGUUGCAUGUCAUUUUUGACAUGAGAUGAUUUGUUGUCUGAUCUAAUUUUAGCUUUCUAAAACAUUGUUGCCUCCACUUUGUAUUUAACAGUUAAAAAAAAGUUUAUUUGCAUAAAAUUGCUAUUUGACAGGGGAGUGUUUCUUUCCCUUUCACAUUAUUCAGUGCGCAUGUCCACAAAUCAGUGCAUUAAAGAUUCAACUAACACAAUACAGUCCAAUACUAUUACUUAAAUGGAUAAAAGCCACUAUUAAUUUGGCAUUUAAAACUAUAAAUGAAAAUACAUUUUAACAGAGAAACUCUUUUUGUUAUUUCUUUUUUCAAGCCACAACAAUGUAUUUGAACAACCCCUCAAAACAUUCAAACCUGGCAUUUUGGGUCUUCAAGACUGUUUUGUUAUUUAUGGUUAAAUAAAAGUUUGUCAUAUAAAUUUAUUCUCAUUUUUUCUGCAGUACUAAGAAAAAAAGGGUUAUCGUGCACAAAACACAUAUCUCUCUCACUGUGGAACACCUUUAGCCAAUUGUAAAUGACCCAACUUGGUAGAAACAAGAUUGUGAUUGAAUGUCUUUUUUUUUAAUUAAAAUACUCUUAAUUUUUUCAUUUUUACCCUUUAGAAAUGUUCAUUUUUGACCAGGGUGUCUCAAAGCAUUUUGGACUACAGUAUUAUAAAAUACUACAAUUCCAGUGAAAACAAAACAGAUGCAACUAAGAAUGCAGACAGCUGCUGGAAACAAACUGUGAAUUUUUCUAAGUGGUAGAUUACUGAAAAAAAAGGUUUAGUGACUUGAUUAAACUGGGAGAGUCGAUCUGUUUGUAUCACUGCAAAGCAUGCUCGUACAAACCCUGAGCCUCUUCCAUUAACCCCCUGACAUACUAGAAUAACGCCUGUUGUCAUAGCAACUCUAUGCAAAAAUGCCAUAAGGCUUUGACAGUUUUAGUCUCAGGAAAACCAGACAAACGUUAAUGUACAAAACAUAUAUUUUUGGCUUGUGUGAACUAAAAAGAAAAAA